This is a long non-coding RNA of Mesocricetus auratus (golden hamster), 535 nucleotides long. RefSeq lists it as uncharacterized. NCBI's taxonomy places the organism in Eukaryota, Metazoa, Chordata, Mammalia, Rodentia, Cricetidae. The record is from RefSeq and is a predicted model, not a curated record. The transcript has 3 exons.
UUGAGAGCCAAGUGCAGUCAUGCAGAGGUCUAGCAACUGGCAAAGAAUUAUCAAUUCUUCAUUUGGACAGACUCUCCGAGCUUCUCCAGUCCUUGUCAGACCAAGUUUAUUUUGGAAGUUCUGCUCCAACUCCAGAAAGUGCUGUGGUCAAUGUCACCAACCCUCCACACCUGGGUAAAGCCAGUGACGGGGUCUCCCUCACAGCCAGGCUCUCCUGAUCCUUCUCCCCCGUCUUCUCAAGGAAGGCGUGGCCCCAAGGCUUGGUGUUCAGCUCUCUUUGGUCUUGAACUAGCAUCUCUGAACCCUGACCGUGCAGUGCAGCUGUACCUGCUGGCUCCCAGUAUAAGAGAGGCACUAGGGCUGUGCCACAGCUGUUGAAGAGAAGAGGGCUGAAAUCUCUGGCGGUGAUCGAGACUUUGUUUUUGCUCGCAAUUCCAUCUGCUGUGAUCUCUGGACUUAAUCAGCCAACCAGUCCUCCUGAUGACGUGAUGAUGGUGAUGAUGAUGAUGAUUUUUUUUUUUUUAAGACAGGUUUC